Molecule: ribosomal RNA, 253 nt
Filed under: uncultured bacterium
Lineage: Bacteria
Description: partial 16S ribosomal RNA
Rfam family: Bacterial small subunit ribosomal RNA
Source: RNAcentral
UACGAAGGGUGCAAGCGUUACUCGGAAUUACUGGGCGUAAAGCGUGCGUAGGUGGUUUGUUAAGUCUGUUGUGAAAGCCCCGGGCUCAACCUGGGAAUGGCAAUGGAUACUGGCAGGCUAGAGUGUGGCAGAGGGAGGUAGAAUUCCACGUGUAGCAGUGAAAUGCGUAGAGAUGUGGAGGAAUACCGAUGGCGAAGGCAGCCUCCUGGGCCAACACUGACGCUCAUGCAUGAAAGCGUGGGGAGCAAACAGG